GUAGGUGGCAAGCGUUGUCCGGAAUUAUUGGGCGUAAAGCGCGCGCAGGUGGUUCUUUAGGUCUGAUGUGAAAGCCCCCGGCUCAACCGGGGAGGGUCAUUGGAAACUGGGGAACUUGAGUGCAGGAGAGGGAAGUGGAAUUCCACGUGUAGCGGUGAAAUGCGUAGAUAUGUGGAGGAACACCAGUGGCGAAGGCGACUUUCUGGCCUGUAACUGACACUGAGGCGCGAAAGCGUGGGGAGCAAACAGGGAUUAGAUACCCUGGUAGUCCACGCCGUAAACGAUGAGUGCUAAGUGUUGGGGGGGUUUCCCGCCCCUCAGUGCUGCAGCUAACGCAUUAAGCACUCCGCCUGGGGAUACGGUCGCAAGACUG
Molecule: ribosomal RNA, 373 nt
Filed under: uncultured organism
Description: partial 16S ribosomal RNA
Rfam family: Bacterial small subunit ribosomal RNA
Source: RNAcentral